CAGCACCUCAAGUGGUCAGGAUGAUUAUUGGGCCUAGAGCAUCCGUAGCCGGCGCUGUAAGUUUUCGGUUAAAUCUGUACGCUCAACGUACAGGCUGCCGGGAAUACUGCAGAGCUAGGGAGUGGGAGAGGUAGACGGUACUCGGUAGGAAGGGGUAAAAUCCUUUGAUCUAUUGAUGACCACCUGUGGCGAAGGCGGUCUACCAGAACACGUCCGACGGUGAGGGAUGAAAGCUGGGGGAGCAAACCGGAUUAGAUACCCGAGUAGUCC
Molecule: ribosomal RNA, 270 nt
Filed under: uncultured archaeon
Lineage: Archaea
Description: partial 16S ribosomal RNA
Rfam family: Archaeal small subunit ribosomal RNA
Source: RNAcentral